GACGAACGCUGGCGGCGUGCUUAACACAUGCAAGUCGAACGGAAAGGCCCCUUUGGGGGUACUCGAGUGGCGAACGGGUGAGUAACACGUGAGUAACCUGCCCUUGACUUCGGGAUAACUUCAGGAAACUGGGGCUAAUACCGGAUAGGAAUCCUUGCUGCAUGGUGGGGGUUGGAAAGCUUCGGCGGGUUUGGAUGGGCUCGCGGCUUAUCAGCUUGUUGGUGGGGUAGUGGCUUACCAAGGCUUUGACGGGUAGCCGGCCUGGGAGGGCGACCGGCCACAUUGGGACUGAGAGACGGCCCAGACUCCUACGGGAGGCAGCAGUGGGGAAUAUUGCACAAUGGGCGGAAGCCUGAUGCAGCAACGCCGCGGGCGGGAUGACGGCCUUCGGGUUGUAAACCGCUUUCAGCAGGGGCGAAGCUUGUGGUGACGGUACCUGCAGAAGAAGCACCGGCUAACUACGUG
This 465-nucleotide ribosomal RNA is filed under the name uncultured bacterium. RNAcentral describes it as "partial 16S ribosomal RNA". It matches the Rfam family "Bacterial small subunit ribosomal RNA", at positions 28 to 507 of the family's 1533-position model. The record is from RNAcentral.